This 427-nucleotide ribosomal RNA is filed under the name uncultured beta proteobacterium. Its description in RNAcentral is "bacterial SSU rRNA". It matches the Rfam family "Bacterial small subunit ribosomal RNA", at positions 355 to 774 of the family's 1533-position model. The record is from RNAcentral. Lineage: Bacteria; Pseudomonadati; Pseudomonadota; Betaproteobacteria.
UGGGGAAUUUUGGACAAUGGGCGAAAGCCUGAUCCAGCCAUGCCGCGUGAGUGAAGAAGGCCCUCGGGUUGUAAAGCUCUUUUAGUCGGAAAGAAAGAGUUGCAAUGAAUAAUUGUGAUUUAUGACGGUACCGACAGAAAAAGCACCGGCUAACUACGUGCCAGCAGCCGCGGUAAUACGUAGGGUGCGAGCGUUAAUCGGAAUUACUGGGCGUAAAGGGUGCGCAGGCGGUCUUGCAAGUCAGAUGUGAAAGCCCCGGGCUUAACCUGGGAAUUGCGUUUGAAACUACAAGGCUAGAGUGCAGCAGAGGGGAGUGGAAUUCCAUGUGUAGCAGUGAAAUGCGUAGAGAUGUGGAAGAACACCGAUGGCGAAGGCAGCUCCCUGGGUUGACACUGACGCUCAUGCACGAAAGCGUGGGGAGCAAACA